GACGGGACCCGCACAAGCGGUGGAUGAUGUGGUUUAAUUCGAUGCAACGCGAAAACCUUACCCACCUUUGACAUGUACGGAAUCCUUUAGAGAUAGAGGGGUGCUCGAAAGAGAGCCGUAACACAGGUGCUGCAUGGCUGUCGUCAGCUCGUGUCGUGAGAUGUUGGGUUAAGUCCCGCAACGAGCGCAACCCUUGUCAUUAGUUGCUACAUUUGGUUGGGCACUCUAAUGAGACUGCCGGUGACAAGCCGGAGGAAGGUGGGGAUGACGUCAAGUCCUCAUGGCCCUUAUAGGUGGGGCUACACACGUCAUACAAUGGCUGGUACAAAGGGUUGCCAACCCGCGAGGGGGAGCUAAUCCCACAAAGCCAGUCGUAGUCCGGAUCGUAGUCUGCAACUCGACUACGUGAAGUCGGAAUCGCUAGUAAUCGUGGAUCAGAAUGUCACGGUGAAUACGUUCCCGGGUCUU
This 468-nucleotide ribosomal RNA is filed under the name uncultured Rhodoferax sp. RNAcentral describes it as "bacterial SSU rRNA". It matches the Rfam family "Bacterial small subunit ribosomal RNA", at positions 916 to 1381 of the family's 1533-position model. Lineage: Bacteria; Pseudomonadati; Pseudomonadota; Betaproteobacteria; Burkholderiales; Comamonadaceae. The record is from RNAcentral.